Non-coding RNA from Vicia faba (fava bean), 246 nucleotides. The record is from the annotation of a GenBank genome assembly. Lineage: Eukaryota; Viridiplantae; Streptophyta; Magnoliopsida; Fabales; Fabaceae.
AUGGGGUGCCCAAAUCCCUCGCUAACUUUGAAGGGAAGGUUUCCCAAGUGCACGGAUACUUAUCAAUUGGUACCAGAGCUGGUUGCUGCUAGCUCAAAAGAGGCUAUACGGAAGGCCGAGAAAAGCAACUUAGAGUUCAACGGAAUGUCAACUCUCAAAGGAGGUGCUAUGGUGGAACUUAGGUAUUAUGGGAUUUCCAAGUCCCAUUUCGAUUUGUAUGAAAUGCUCAGUAGAGUAUCUAAGUGA